UUAAGUUCAGCGGGUAUCCCUACCUGAUCCGAGGUCAACCUGAAUAAAUUGGGGGUUGCUGGCGAGCACGCACCCGGUCCUCCGAAGCGAGAAGUAGUUACUACGCUUGAAGCCGAAUGGCGCCGCCACUGAUUUUGGGGCCUGCCGGAGACCGGCAGCGCCCAAUACCAAGCAGUGCUUGAGGGUUGUAAUGACGCUCG
RNAcentral lists this unclassified non-coding RNA (200 nucleotides) under Bettsia sp. RNAcentral's name for it is "partial internal transcribed spacer 2". Lineage: Eukaryota; Fungi; Ascomycota; Leotiomycetes. The record is from RNAcentral.